GACGAACGCUGGCGGCGUGCUUAACACAUGCAAGUCGAACGGACAGGUCCUGCUUUUGCGGGGUGCUCGAGUGGCGAACGGGUGAGUAACACGUGAGUAACCUCCACUUGACUUUGGGAUAUCUUCAGGAAACUGGGGCUCAUACCGGAUAGGAUCUCUUGCUGCACGGUGGGGGAUGGAGAGUUUCGGCGGUUGUGGAUGGACUAGCGGCUUAUCAGCUUGUUGGUGGGGUAGUGGCUUACCAAGGCUAUGACGGGUAGCAGGCAUGCGAGGGUGACCGGCAACAUGGGGACUGAGGUAGGCCCCAGACUCCAACGGGAGGCAAUAGGGGGGAAUUUUGCAGAGUGGCGGGAAGCCUGAUGCGGCAACGCCCGGUGCGGAAUGCGGGCUUUCGGGUGGAAAACCGAUUUCGCCGGUGACGAGCCGUGAGUGACGGUAAUUGGUAAAGAAGCACCGGCUAACUACGUG
This 468-nucleotide ribosomal RNA is filed under the name uncultured bacterium. RNAcentral's name for it is "partial 16S ribosomal RNA". It matches the Rfam family "Bacterial small subunit ribosomal RNA", at positions 28 to 507 of the family's 1533-position model. The record is from RNAcentral.